AGAGGUCUGGAAGGGCAUGAGAACCAUUACUGGUUUCAAGGAGAAGGGAUGUGUAGCUCCUGGUGAUGUGGACAUGGCGGACGAGUUCAACCGUUUUUACAACCGGUUUGACUCUGUACAAACGCACACACACACUAACGGAUGUCCACCCGGCGGCCACUCCACCUCGGCUGCUGUGACCUGCUCCUCUUCUCCACCUGGGAGCGGCUCCACCUCUGCUGCUGUGACCUGCUCCUCCUCACCACCCAGCAGCUGCUCCACCUCUGCGGCUGUGACCUGCUCCUCUCCUCCACCCAGCGGCUGCUCCACCUCUGCUGCUGUGACCUGCUCCUCCUCACCACCCAGCGGCUGCUCCACCUCUGCGGCUGUGACCUGCUCCUCCUCACCAUCCAGCGGCUGCUCCACCUCUGCUGCUGUGACCUGCUCCUCCUCACCAUCCAGCGGCUGCUCCACCUCUGCUGCUGUGACCUGCUCCUCCUCACCACCCAGCGGCUGCUCCACCUCUGCUGCUGUGACCUGCUCCUCCUCACCACCCAGCGGCUGCUCCACCUCUGCUGCUGUGACCUGCUCCUCCUCACCAUCCAGCGGCUGCUCCACCUCUGCGGCUGCGACCUGCUCCUCUUCACCACCCAGCGGCUGCUCCACCUCUGCUGCUGUGACCUGCUCCUCUUCACCACCCAGCGGCUGCUCCACCUCUGCUGCUGUGACCUGCUCCUCUCCUCCACCCAGCGGCUGCUCCACCUCUGCUGCUGUGACCUGCUCCUCCUCACCAUCCAGCGGCUGCUCCACCUCUGCUGACGCGCCGGCCUUCACUGUGGAGGAGGUACGUGUGGAGCUGAGGAGGCUCCAUGGACGGAAAGCUGCAGGGCCUGAUGGGAUAUCACCACGGCUGCUGAAGGAGUGUGCGUCAGAGCUGGCUGUGCCUCUCCAAACCAUCUUCAAUCGGAGUCUUCAGACUGGACGUGUCCCUGCGUUGUGGAAGACCUCAUGCCUUGUCCCAGUGCCCAAGGUGGCAAGGCCUGCAGGGAUGAAGGACUACAGACCAGUGGCCCUAACAUCCGUGGUGAUGAAGACUUUUGAGAGGCUGCUGCUCCGGCUGCUCAAACCUCAAGUGGAGGGGGGGCUGGACCCCCUUCAGUUCGCCUAUCAGGACAGCAUGGGAGUGGACGAUGCAGUCUUGUUUAUGGUCCAUCAGGCGCUCUCCUUUCUGGAGGGAGCUGGAGGCUAUGUGAGGUUGAUGUUUUUCGACUUUACAAGCGCCUUUGAUACC
This 1270-nucleotide long non-coding RNA is filed under the name Salarias fasciatus (jewelled blenny). RNAcentral's name for it is "lncRNA (ENSSFAG00005015570.1)". Lineage: Eukaryota; Metazoa; Chordata; Actinopteri; Blenniiformes; Blenniidae. The record is from RNAcentral.